RNAcentral lists this long non-coding RNA (437 nucleotides) under Anas platyrhynchos platyrhynchos (common mallard). Its description in RNAcentral is "lncRNA (ENSAPLG00000025702.1)". Lineage: Eukaryota; Metazoa; Chordata; Aves; Anseriformes; Anatidae. The record is from RNAcentral.
AUGUUAAAUUUCAAAUUACUGAAACAUUUUCUUACCUUCAGUAAUCAGGUAAACUGGUCAGCCCUUGCACAGGAUGUCUUUUCAAGGAGCAGGAAAAUACUGUCUGAUUUUGGAGACGCUGACAUUUUAAGAAAGAAUACUGAAAUAUUUGAAAAUAACACAAGACAAAAGACAAAUACAAUGACAAUGAAGAGGAAAAGGAAACUGACAUAUCAUAUAUAUGCAAAAGCUUUUGGAUAGUUUGAUGGAGAUCAUAUGGAACCUACAUUGUUGAGCACAAGUCGGCAAGUAUAUUUGGAGCACCCUUGUGGGAAAGACCUACAUUGGCCAGAGAAAAUAUAAUGCAGAUUUCCCAUAAAGUGUUAUAUCAAAUUUGGUAAAGAAAUUAAUAUAAAAAGUCACAUUUAGUAAUAAAAUAAAAUGGAUAGACUGAUCCA